Aegilops tauschii subsp. strangulata is the source of this 1428-nucleotide long non-coding RNA. RefSeq lists it as uncharacterized. Lineage: Eukaryota; Viridiplantae; Streptophyta; Magnoliopsida; Poales; Poaceae. The record is from RefSeq and is a predicted model, not a curated record.
GAUCGGGCAGGUGCCCGGGCAGGAGGGAGGCGGCCCGGGUGCGGUGAUGAUUUAACAACAAUCACCAGCAAUUGUUUUUUUAUCAUUGAAAUUCAGCUUUGAUUACUCAAUUUACAAAACUGGAUUUUUGUUAUGUUUCAGCAUUGAAUACUGCCUCUCAAGAGCCACAUGAUGAGCAUGAGCAUCACUGUCACCAUGAUCAUGACCACAAACAUGGUUAGCAUAGUAUGAUGAACAAUGCAUAAAUGUGGUUACCAUCAAAUUAUGAAGCAUUGAAACUCAUGUAAAAUAGUUUCAUGUCUCAGUAUAGAAGCACUUCUCGUGGAUACCCGGAUGGUCAUUGAAAAAGGAAACUAUCUAUCCAUUCUCAAAUACUCCCUCCGUUCCUAAAUAUUUGUCUUUCUAGACAUUUCAAAUGACUACCACAUACGGAUGUAUGUAGACAUAUUUUAGAGUGUAGAUUCACUCAGUUUGCUUCGUAUGUAGUCACUUGUUGAAAUGCCUAGAAAGACAAGUAUUUAGGAACGGAGGGAGUACACUUUAUUUUGUACCCUACUCUUCUUUAUGGCAGCAUAAAGUUAUACUUAAUGACAACCUACUGUUUGUGAAAAAUUGCUUAUGCUCAUGUAGAUUAUGUGUUACAAUAAUUACCUUGUACAAAGGGCACCCAUGGCAUGAUUUUGCCAAACACAUGACUAAAUCUUUCUGCAUGGCUCUGGAUUUAUGAGUUCAGGGAUCUCUAUUGUUGAUAGAGGGAGCCUGGAAACAUAGGAAAAACUUCAUAGUUACUUGGAAUCAAAAUCCUGAAUUAAGAAAUGUACUUUGCCAAUCUGCUUGGAGCCUUGGAUGCUGUUCAGAAAGGAGAGAUGGGACAGUUUUGAUGUUUCACUGAAAUGCAGUACUUAAUAUGCCAUAUCUUAGUCAUGGUAAUGCUGUCAUAAUAAGAAGUGAACUCAAUGUUUUUGCUUCUUGUAGACCAUCAUGAGCAUGAUCACACCCAUGACCCUGGUGUUUCCUCUGUUAAGCAUUGUUUGCGAAGGGGAGAUGGAUCUCUAAAAGUAAAAGUGCUGACACUGACAUAUGCCAGAUGAAGGGACUACUCUCUAUCAGUGGAAUGCCUAAACGCUUUGCCUUUCAGAUUUGCACAAAUGGGAGAACAAAUUGCUACGUGUUCUGCUGCCCUCUCGUUAUGGACUGCUUCCAUGUUAUCCAUCUGCAAGGAGUGUGUAUGACACUUUACAUGGAUCUCCCAACAGAUCGAAUGUGCCGGGCUUCCAGGAUUGCCUACUGAAGGAAUAGGCCAGAGACACCAAGUUUCUCCGUUUCUCCGUUUCUUCUUUUUGGCGGCCGGGGUGGAUCUCCAGCUCCAUGAUUUUGAGCUUUGCGGCUGCAUCCACUAGUAGGAAAAGGGGCUUUUACCCCGGUUCA